UCUGUCCAUCCUCAUUUUGGGAAGGUCUCCCGCGUGGGAGGAUUAAGGUGUGGGUCUCUUCACGGAGAAAUUCGUAAGCCCGGUUUUCUCCUUUAACACCCCCCCCCAAUUUCCUUCUGCUCUUUUGAAAUUGAGGUCCCAUCACCCCUGCAAGCGACACUACCCGCCGGGUGGGGCUGGGAAAGAGGGAAAGGAGCCUGGAGGACGUGACACCAGAAGGUUCCCUCCACCCCCUGCUUCCCCGCCACAGCCGCUCUCCAAAUUGGCGCGGAACCGGCUUCUCCACAGCCCGCUCUUGGAGGCUCGGUCAGGCGCCUGGCGGGCUGAGUCCAGGACAAGCCUUUCCCACCCUAGUUGGACUGGGGAGUGCAUGAAUGACCCAGAAGAUCGGGCUAAAGGGUGCUAGGGUCCUCUGCACAUUCCUUAACGCACUCACGUUCCCACUGGCCAUUCAGCUAAGGAAAUGAAAGCAUGGACGUAAAGUUACUGAGAUACUAGUGUAUUUCAGAAGAUAGUGCAGUGUUUCUUUUUAAAGGUUCAGGCCACCUUCUGGUAAUGUUAGUUUUAGUUGGAACUUGAAGAUUAUGGAUGACUAUGUUCUUGAUUUUACUUUUCUUCUCCCCCAUUUAGAGGUUUCAUAGGCCUCAAAGAAGAGAAUGUCAAGACGCAGUAGCCGUUUACAAGCUAAGCAGCAGCAUGCCCGGCCCAACCAGCCAGACUCUCCACAAGAAGCCCAGAUAAUUCAGGCCAAGAAGAGAAAAACAGCACAG
Molecule: long non-coding RNA, 770 nt
Filed under: Rattus norvegicus (Norway rat)
Lineage: Eukaryota; Metazoa; Chordata; Mammalia; Rodentia; Muridae
Description: long non-coding RNA NONRATT022100
Source: RNAcentral